This is a non-coding RNA of Prunus avium (sweet cherry), 206 nucleotides long. The record is from RefSeq and is a predicted model, not a curated record. Lineage: Eukaryota; Viridiplantae; Streptophyta; Magnoliopsida; Rosales; Rosaceae.
GAAACUUGAUUUUCGGUUCUGUUGAGAGAUCAUCAGCUGCAACUAAUUCCCUGGUCUUUGUUUGGCUCCUUCUUUGAUAUUCUAUAUUGGUUUGGUUGGCAGCUGGAUCUGAAAUUGACAUGGAUCGAAAGAGAAAGAUGAAGAUUGUAACAACUCUAGUUGCAGUAGAGUUAGAGAAACAACGUUUGUGUGCAUCCAUGAUGUUA